RNAcentral lists this ribosomal RNA (375 nucleotides) under Proreus simulans. RNAcentral's name for it is "partial 16S ribosomal RNA". Lineage: Eukaryota; Metazoa; Arthropoda; Insecta; Dermaptera; Chelisochidae. The record is from RNAcentral.
GGUAUCUUUUUCUUAGUUUCUUCUUCAAGAUCUUCAAUCUACGUAUUUGUAUUCUCACUUAUAAAGGUUUUAUUCGUCUUUCUAGUUGCCCCAACUAAAUUUGACUUCCGUUCCUCAAAGAUUAAACCUCCACUUCUUGAACUUUAUCUUAUAAAGAUCUAUAGGGUCUUCUCGUCUUUCUUCCUAAUUUUUGCCUUUUUACAAAAAAGUGAAAUUCAUUUCAUACCAAAGAAACAGCUUUAAUUCCAUUGAAUCUUUCAUUCCAGUGCCCAAUCAAAACACUAAUGAUUAUGCUACCUUUGCACGGUCAAGAAUACCGCGGCCCUUCAAACCUUUCAGUGGGCAGAUUUUACCUUUCAUUAACCUCGAAAGACA